AUGAGGACCUGUGUGCUUGAUUGUUCUUUAAUUUCCCAAAUCUGUAAGAGUUGCUGCAGCUGUGUGCAUCCCAUCAGAGCCGUUAUCCAAAGCAGCAAUUACUGUCUGGUCUGUCCCUCUUGGAGCACAAGGCAAUGCUGCUUCCAGCGGGAGCCAGCUGAGAGCUUGUCCUUAAUUGAGGCAGUUUGUUGGCUGCUCCAGAUCUGGAUACGAACCUCUCAGGCCGAAGACCUUUGCCAGGGUUUCAUUGCUUGCUGUCGCAGGGAACCUGCCCAUGGCUCUGGGACCAGGCAUAGAGAGCCCAGGGCAGCGCGUGGAGGUGUGCCUGCUGAGCCCGGGGCUGGAUCUGGCCCACCGUUCUUGCUGUUCCCAAGGCAACUGCAUCUACGUGGUGGGGUCUGCCAGGAGGGACGCUCUGCGAAACACCCUUUGGACCCAUUGGCUCUAAAGAACUUGUGAAUUGGAUGAAGUGCUGUGAUUCCCCAGCAGGGCAACAGAGAAGACCUACGGCAGCUUCUUAUCGUCUUCGCUGGCACCUUUCCCUAAAAGACAUUAAAUGUUUUUUUUAUUGUUUUUUUUUUUUUUUUUUUUCCCCCAGAACUGGUUGUGGUAACAGUGCAGGAAUGCAAAUAAACAAGUAAAAGUCAUUCUAAUCA
RNAcentral lists this long non-coding RNA (656 nucleotides) under Anser cygnoides (Swan goose). Its description in RNAcentral is "lncRNA (ENSACDG00005001542.1)". The record is from RNAcentral. Lineage: Eukaryota; Metazoa; Chordata; Aves; Anseriformes; Anatidae.